Molecule: ribosomal RNA, 443 nt
Filed under: uncultured bacterium
Lineage: Bacteria
Description: partial 16S ribosomal RNA
Rfam family: Bacterial small subunit ribosomal RNA
Source: RNAcentral
CCUACGGGUGGCAGCAGUGGGGAAUAUUGGGCAAUGGAGGAAACUCUGACCCAGCAACGCCGCGUGAAUGAUGAAGGUCUUCGGAUUGUAAAGUUCUUUUCUAAGGGAAGAAGAAAGUGACGGUACCUUAGGAAUAAGCCUCGGCUAACUACGUGCCAGCAGCCGCGGUAAUACGUAGGAGGCGAGCGUUAUCCGGAAUGACUGGGCGUAAAGGGUGCGUAGGUGGUUUGGCAAGUUAGUAGCGUAACUCCAAGGCUCAACCUUGGAACUACUACUAAAACUGUUGGACUUGAGUGCAGGAGAGGUAAGUGGAAUUCCUAGUGUAGCGGUGAAAUGCGUAGAUAUUAGGAGGAACACCAGUGGCGAAGGCGGCUUACUGGACUGUAACUGACGUUGAGGCUCGAAAGCGUGGGGAGCAAACAGGAUUAGAUACCCUUGUAGUC